Molecule: long non-coding RNA, 258 nt
Organism: Capra hircus (goat)
Lineage: Eukaryota; Metazoa; Chordata; Mammalia; Artiodactyla; Bovidae
Source: Ensembl
AUGGUAUAUUUUUGUUUUAUUAUUUUUUGUUAUUUUUUAAUGGAAAAAAAUACUUUGACAUGUGCGUGGAUGGAGAAAGACAUGGAGAAAUCAGAGUUGAAGUGGUGGGAAUUUCAUGUAAAGUCAAAGGGAAAGCUUUGGAAAGAAACAUGGAUACGUUUCACUAUGAAAAAAUAUGAAAGGGCAAAUUCUUUACCAAUAGAGCCUCUGAUGGACAUGUGGAAUACAAAUCGGAUCUUGAAUAAAAGCAUAUUGUAG